RNAcentral lists this small RNA (467 nucleotides) under Drosophila erecta. RNAcentral describes it as "GG26153". Lineage: Eukaryota; Metazoa; Arthropoda; Insecta; Diptera; Drosophilidae. The record is from RNAcentral.
CCACACGAAAGAACAACACCAACAUCGCUUUGGCUGCGCGAAAUUACCCAAAAAUAAAUGUUUUGCGACAUUAUGAGCUCGUAUUAGUGGUGCAAAGUGGUACUAGUGGUUUUCUGAGCACCCGCAAAGUGACCGUUUUCGAAUCGCCCCUUUGUUUUUCGCGUGUUCUUGUCGGCGUUUUCCCACUUGUUUUUUACGCACACUACGCGCCAGUUGCAUGUGUGUGUGUGGGCGAGUGUUCGUGUGAAUAAAAAAUCGAUUCUGUUGUGAUGCAAACAAAACGAACAUUUCUGUAGAGCUAAGAGGACAACAAUAAAACAAUAACUAUGUUUCAACACCAAAAGCUUAAGUGCCAUUUGGCGAGUGAGUGUGAGUGAGUCCGUCAGCCAACGAGUAAGUCUGACAGUGACACAGCCAGUGUGUAAAUAAAAAGAGUAUUUAAAAUUAUUGAAAAGCCCCAUUGUUGU